RNAcentral lists this ribosomal RNA (1053 nucleotides) under Triticum aestivum (bread wheat). RNAcentral describes it as "partial small subunit ribosomal RNA". Lineage: Eukaryota; Viridiplantae; Streptophyta; Magnoliopsida; Poales; Poaceae. The record is from RNAcentral.
AUGUGGGGGAUGGCGCGCAUCGAUGAGUGGAAACCGGUGAUCGCAAUGCUGGUCUUCGACCUCAUCUCUGCCGUGACAACGGCCCUGAUCAAGGCGGCGCUCGAGGAAGGGCUCGACCGUCUAGUGCUCAUCACGCUGCGUCAACUGGUGGCCACGGUCUUCCUUUCUCCGGUCGCAUUUUUCAAAGAACGGAACACACGGCCUAAGCUCACACUGGAGAUCCUCGUGUACCUCUUCUUCAGCGCAGCGUUAGGCGCCGCGCUCUCUCAGUAUACCUUCUUCUACGGGCUGCAGUACACAACAGCAACGUUUGCAAUAACUUUCACCAACCUGGCUCCAGUGCUGACUUUCCUCAUCGCGGUCUUGCUCAGGGUGGAGUCACUGAACAUGAAGAACAAGGCAGGAGCUGCGAAGAUCAUCGGGACGCUCAUGUCGUUCGCCGGCGUCAUGCUCCUGACCCUCUACAAGGGUGUGGCCUUGACACACCAAGCAGAGCCUUCAGGCCAGCAUGCAGAAGCAGAAGCAGCAGCAGAAUCUGGCAAGAAGAGCUGGACCCUGGGCACUCUAGCAUUACUGGCAAACUGCCUGUGCUUCUCCUUUUGGCUCCUGCUGCAGUCCAAGCUCACCAAGAAGUACCCAGCACUCUACUCCAGCACUGCAUACAUGUUCCUCAUCAGCUCCCUGCAGGGAGGUGGCCUGACAGCGGCGAUACAGCGGAGGGCAUCGGUGUGGGUCCUCACAAAGCCAGUGGAGAUUGUUACAGUACUAUACACAGGAAUCUUGGGGUCUGGAGUGGGAUAUGUACUGAUGACAUGGUGUGUGGAGAAGCGAGGGCCGGUGUUCACUUCAGCCUUCAUCCCCAUCAUCCAGAUCAUGGUUGCCAUAAUUGAUUUCUUCUUUCUCCAUGAGAACAUCUACCUUGGAAGUGUGCUGGGAUCCAUACUGAUGAUCAUGGGCCUCUAUAUUCUGCUGUGGGGAAAGAGCAGGGAUGCCUCGGCGACAGUACCACCUGCCAAAGAGGAAGAGGAUAAGGAGAAGCAAAUCAAAUCAUGA